Triticum aestivum (bread wheat) is the source of this 135-nucleotide non-coding RNA. Lineage: Eukaryota; Viridiplantae; Streptophyta; Magnoliopsida; Poales; Poaceae. The record is from Rfam.
UUUGUACUUCCUUCGUCCGGAAAUACUUGUCAUCAAGAUGAAUAAAAGGGAAUGUAUUUAGAUGUAUUUUAUUUCUCGAUAUAUCCCCUUUUAUUCAUUUUGAUGACAAGUAUUUUCAGACGAAGGGAGUAUAUA